This 842-nucleotide ribosomal RNA is filed under the name Stereum sp. 2 RG-2014. Its description in RNAcentral is "eukaryotic LSU rRNA". The stretch from base 545 to 842 matches the Rfam family "Eukaryotic large subunit ribosomal RNA", at positions 1 to 292 of the family's 3401-position model. The record is from RNAcentral. Lineage: Eukaryota; Fungi; Basidiomycota; Agaricomycetes; Russulales; Stereaceae.
CUGGGGUUGUAGCUGGCCUAUAAAACGGCAUGUGCACGCUCCUUUCACAAUCCACACACACCUGUGCACCUUCGCGGGGGUCUUUUUUUCUCUUCGGGGGAAUAAAGGCUCGCGUCCCUUUACACACCCUUUGUAUGUCUUAAGAAUGUCUACUCGAUGUAAUAAAACGCAUCUAAUACAACUUUCAACAACGGAUCUCUUGGCUCUCGCAUCGAUGAAGAACGCAGCGAAAUGCGAUAAGUAAUGUGAAUUGCAGAAUUCAGUGAAUCAUCGAAUCUUUGAACGCACCUUGCGCCCUUUGGUAUUCCGAAGGGCACACCUGUUUGAGUGUCGUGAAAUUCUCAACCCUCCUCGCUUUUUCGGCGAGCGUAGGGAUUGGACUUGGAGGCUUUGCCGGGCUCUCAUCGCUCGGCUCCUCUCAAAUGCAUUAGUGCGUCUUGUUGCGACGUGCGCCUCGGUGUGAUAAUUAUCUACGCUGUGGUGUGCUUGCUUCUUGUGGAGACACGCUUUCGAACCGUCCGAAAGGACAGCUUUCAUCGAACUUUGACCUCAAAUCAGGUGGGACUACCCGCUGAACUUAAGCAUAUCAAUAAGCGGAGGAAAAGAAACUAACAAGGAUUCCCCUAGUAACUGCGAGUGAAGCGGGAAAAGCUCAAAUUUAAAAUCUGGCGGUCUUCUGGUCGUCCGAGUUGUAGUCUGGAGAAGCGUUUUCCGCGUUGGACCGUGUACAAGUUUCCUGGAACGGAGCGUCAUAGAGGGUGAGAAUCCCGUCUUUGACACGGACCCCAAUGCUUUGUGAUGCGCUCUCAAAGAGUCGAGUUGUUUGGGAAUGCAGCUCAAAA